GGAGGCUGCGCGGCGGAGAGUAGAGAGCUAGAGGGUGAGAAGCGCUGGGCCGGACCAGAACUGUCUUCGCUUUUCCCUCUGCGGCUGCUCUGGUUGGUUACUUUGAGCCUUCCUCCUCAGCGCCGCAGGAGAGACUUAACAGCAAAAAUGACUGUGUCCUGAGUUCAGCCCCCACUGCUCUGGGAGCUUCCCCCUGGUUUCUGCACCUGAAGAAUGUCAUCCCAGCCGAAGGUUCUUAGGAGCGGGGAGCGACAAAGAAAAACAAAGAAAAGCAGACCUGAAAAUUGGGACCUGGGAGAAAUAGACGAGUGCUCUAAACCAGUAUCAUGGCUCCAGUUCCUCUGACAAGGAUUCACAUGGGGUAAGUGCCCACUAAGGCAGAGGUGUCUACUUCAGCAGUGCAGAGCAACUCAGCUAAGUAGAGGGAAUAUGAAAUAGAACCAGAAGUCUAGCCUGCUUAGCUACA
RNAcentral lists this long non-coding RNA (466 nucleotides) under Pan troglodytes (chimpanzee). RNAcentral's name for it is "long non-coding RNA NONPTRT012122". Lineage: Eukaryota; Metazoa; Chordata; Mammalia; Primates; Hominidae. The record is from RNAcentral.